Molecule: ribosomal RNA, 1259 nt
Filed under: uncultured bacterium
Lineage: Bacteria
Description: bacterial SSU rRNA
Rfam family: Bacterial small subunit ribosomal RNA
Source: RNAcentral
AACUUGAGCUAAUACCGCAUGUGGCAGUAAUGUUAAAGGUGGCCUCUAUUUAUAAGCUACCGCUUAAAGAUGAGCCUGCGUACUAUUAGCUUGUUGGUGGGGUAAUGGCUCACCAAGGCAAUGAUAGUUAGGCGGCCUUAACGGGUGGUCGCCCACACUGGGAUUGAGAUACGGCCCAGACUCCUACGGGAGGCAGCAGUCGAGAAUAGUCUACAAUGGACGAAAGUCUGAUAGUGCAAUUCCGCGUGGAUGAAGAAGCAUUUCGGUGUGUAAAAUCCUUUUCUUUGUGAGCAAAGAUUUGAAGGUGAAUAAUUUUUAAAUUAAGAUAUUAGCAAAGGAAUAAGCCUCGGCUAACUCCGUGCCAGCAGCCGCGGUAAUACGGGGGAGGCAAGCGUUGUCCGGAAUCACUAGGCGUAAAGGGCAAGUAGGCGGAUUGGUAAGUUACGGGUUAAAUCUGGAGGCUCAACCUCCAGCCAGCUUGUGAUACUGCCCAUCUAGAGUCAGACAGGGGAAGACGGAAUUCCCGGUGUAGCGGUGGAAUGCGCAGAUAUCGGGAGGAACACUCAUGGCGAAGGCAGUUUUCUGGGUCAUGACUGACGCUCAAUUGCGAAGGUGUGGGUAUCAAACAAGGAUUAGAUACCCUGGUAGUCCACACAGUAAACGAUAAACACUAGGUGUUGGUGGAGAUAAUCCAUCGGUGCCGUAGCUAACGCGUUAAGUGUUUCGCCUGGGGAGUACGAUCGCAAGAUUGAAACUCAAAGGAAUUGACGGGGACCCGCACAAGCGGUGGAGCAUGUGGUUUAAUUCGAUGCAACGCGAAGAACCUUACCUGGGUUUGACAUGUAUAAGAAUCUUCCAGAGAUGGAGGAGUGCUGGUUUUCCAGAGCUUUUACACAGGUGCUGCAUGGCUGUCGUCAGCUCGUGUCGUGAGAUGUUGGGUUAAGUCCCGCAACGAGCGCAACCCUUAUCCUUAGUUGCCAUCAUUAAGUUGGGGACUCUAGGGAGACUGCCAGCGUAGAAAGCUGGAGGAAGGUGGGGACGACGUCAAGUCAUCAUGGUCCUUAUGUCCAGGGCUACACACGUGCUACAAUGGUUGGUACAAAGAGCAGCGAGACAGUAAUGUUAAGCGAAUCUCAUAAAGCCAAUCUCAGUUCGGAUUGAGGUCUGCAACUCGACCUCAUGAAGUCGGAAUCGCUAGUAAUCGUGCGUCAGAACAGCACGGUGAAUACGUUCCCGGGUCUUGUACUCACCGCCCGUCA